RNAcentral lists this ribosomal RNA (432 nucleotides) under uncultured bacterium. RNAcentral's name for it is "bacterial SSU rRNA". It matches the Rfam family "Bacterial small subunit ribosomal RNA", at positions 29 to 507 of the family's 1533-position model. The record is from RNAcentral.
AACGAACGCUGGCGGCAGGCCUAACACAUGCAAGUCGAGCGAGACCUUCGGGUCUAGCGGCGGACGGGUUAGUAACGCGUGGGAACGUGCCCUUCUCUGCGGAAUAGCCACUGGAAACGGUGAGUAAUACCGCAUACGCCCUUCGGGGGAAAGAUUUAUCGGAGAAGGAUCGGCCCGCGUUAGAUUAGAUAGUUGGUGGGUAACGGCCUACCAAGUCUACGAUCUAUAGCUGGUUUUAGAGGAUGAUCAGCAACACUGGGACUGAGACACGGCCCAGACUCCUACGGGAGGCAGCAGUGGGGAAUCUUAGACAAUGGGCGCAAGCCUGAUCUAGCCAUGCCGCGUGUGUGAUGAAGGUCUUAGGAUCGUAAAGCACUUUCGCCAGGGAUGAUAAUGACGGUACCUGGUAAAGAAACCCCGGCUAACUCCGUG